Molecule: ribosomal RNA, 585 nt
Filed under: Gemmatimonadales bacterium
Lineage: Bacteria; Pseudomonadati; Gemmatimonadota; Gemmatimonadia; Gemmatimonadales
Description: bacterial SSU rRNA
Rfam family: Bacterial small subunit ribosomal RNA
Source: RNAcentral
CUCUUGGAGAGUUUGAUCCUGGCUCAGGACGAACGCUGGCGGCGUGCCUAACACAUGCAAGUCGUACGGGCCUGGGGGCAACUCCAGGUCAGUGGCGAACGGGUGCGUAACACGUAAGCAACAUGUCCGACGGUGGGGGAUAGCCGGCCCAACGGCCGGGUAAUACCGCAUGAAUUCGCCUGGGACAUCCCGGGUGAUGAAAGUGGGGGCAACCUCACGCCGACGGAGUGGCUUGCGGCCUAUCAGCUAGUUGGUGAGGUAAUGGCUCACCAAGGCUACGACGGGUAGCUGGUCUGAGAGGAUGACCAGCCACAUUGGGACUGAGACACGGCCCAGACUCCUACGGGAGGCAGCAGUGGGGAAUAUUGCGCAAUGGGCGAAUGCCUGACGCAGCGACGCCGCGUGUGGGAUGACGGCCUUCGGGUUGUAAACCACUGUCGGAGGGGACGAAGGCCCGGCGGCUCAUACCCGACCGGGAUUGACGGUACCCUUAGAGGAAGCACCGGCUAACUCCGUGCCAGCAGCCGCGGUAAUACGGAGGGUGCGAGCGUUGUCCGGAAUCACUGGGCGUAAAGGGCGUGUAGG